UGCCCUUCUUCGAUUUGAGCCAUAACAGCUAGAGUAGCUAAGGCGUCAGCAAAUUGAUUCUUGUCUCUACUCAGAUGAGUGAAAGAGAUUUCUUCGAAUUCCCUGAUCAUCUCCAGUAAGUAUUUCUGGUAGGGGAUUAACUUGGGAUCCUUGGUUUGCCAUUCUCCCUUGACCUGAUAAAUUAUCAGAGCCGAGUCUCCAUACACCUCCAACUUUCUGAUUUUCA
This 226-nucleotide unclassified non-coding RNA is filed under the name Hevea brasiliensis (rubber tree). The record is from RNAcentral. Lineage: Eukaryota; Viridiplantae; Streptophyta; Magnoliopsida; Malpighiales; Euphorbiaceae.